This 417-nucleotide non-coding RNA is filed under the name Pectobacterium parmentieri WPP163. The record is from RNAcentral. Lineage: Bacteria; Pseudomonadati; Pseudomonadota; Gammaproteobacteria; Enterobacterales; Pectobacteriaceae.
AGAUCCUUAAUCGUGGUAUCCAAUGGCUUGAUGUACAGGGUGUUAUUGUUCAGCGCAAUGUCACCACUGGCGCGGACAUCAUCACCAACCAGUGGGAUAUCCAGAUGCAGCGAGCCUUUCACCGACCCGCCAAUUUUUAGUUCAUCCAGCGCCAUACCCAGCGAGGAUUUCAGCGGCGUCUGAUGGAAAUAGUUGCCCACCUCCGGUCCUGGACCGUCUAGCUCACCAUCAACGAGCAGCAUCUCUUUUUCAUAAUCGGGAAUAACCGCGCUAAUAUUUUUGCCUUCAACCUUACCCAGCCAGGUUUGUGGCGCAAACAUCCACAGACCGUUGUUAGCAAAAUCCAGAUUGAUAUCCAGCGGCGUCAGCGCAGGCCAGCCCGGUUGAAACUCGAAAGUCGCCUCUUUCACUGGCACC